UCCUGGCGUCAGGAUGAACGCUAGCGACAGGCCUAACACAUGCAAGUCGAGGGGCGAGCGGGGGAGCAAUCCUGCCGGCGACCGGCGCACGGGUGAGUAACGCGUAUGUAACCUGCCCAUGAGUGGGGGAUAGCCCAGCGAAAGCUGGAUUAAUACCGCAUGAAACCGUUUGAAGACAUCUGAUAAUGGUUAAAGAUUUAUUGCUCAUGGAUGGACAUGCGUCCGAUUAGCUAGUUGGCGGGGCAACGGCCCACCAAGGCGACGAUCGGUAGGGGUUCUGAGAGGAAGGUCCCCCACAUUGGUACUGAGACACGGACCAAACUCCUACGGGAGGCAGCAGUGAGGAAUAUUGGUCAAUGGGCGGAAGCCUGAACCAGCCAAGUCGCGUGAAGGAUGAAGGUAUUAUGUAUUGUAAACUUCUUUAGCAGUGGAGUAAUAAGGUGGUCGUGACCACUGAUGCAAGUACACUGAGAAUAAGGAUCGGCUAACUCCGUGCCAGCCGCCGC
This 506-nucleotide ribosomal RNA is filed under the name uncultured bacterium. RNAcentral describes it as "bacterial SSU rRNA". It matches the Rfam family "Bacterial small subunit ribosomal RNA", at positions 17 to 518 of the family's 1533-position model. The record is from RNAcentral.